CCUACGGGUGGCUGCAGUGGGGAAUAUUGCACAAUGGGGGAAACCCUGAUGCAGCGACGCCGCGUGAGUGAAGAAGUAAUUCGUUAUGUAAAGCUCUAUCAGCAGGGAAGAAAAUGACGGUACCUGAGUAAGAAGCCCCGGCUAACUACGUGCCAGCAGCCGCGGUAAUACGUAGGGGGCAAGCGUUAUCCGGAUUUACUGGGUGUAAAGGGAGCGUAGACGGCAGUGCAAGCCAGGAGUGAAAGCCCGGGGCCCAACCCCGGGACUGCUCUUGGAACUGCAUGGCUGGAGUACAGGAGGGGCAGGCGGAAUUCCUAGUGUAGCGGUGAAAUGCGUAGAUAUUAGGAGGAACACCGGUGGCGAAGGCGGCCUGCUGGACUGUGACUGACGUUGAGGCCCGAAGGCGUGGGGAGCAAACAGGAUUAGAUACCCUUGUAGUC
Molecule: ribosomal RNA, 440 nt
Filed under: uncultured bacterium
Lineage: Bacteria
Description: partial 16S ribosomal RNA
Rfam family: Bacterial small subunit ribosomal RNA
Source: RNAcentral